GUCGCCGUAGCUCAGUGGUCAGAGCGCCCCGCUCAUAACGGGGAGGGCGGUGGUUCGAGACCACCCGGCGAUA
This 73-nucleotide transfer RNA is filed under the name Actinoplanes couchii. Its description in RNAcentral is "tRNA-Met". It matches the Rfam family "tRNA". From Rfam's summary of the family: Transfer RNA (tRNA) molecules are approximately 80 nucleotides in length. The record is from RNAcentral. Lineage: Bacteria; Bacillati; Actinomycetota; Actinomycetes; Micromonosporales; Micromonosporaceae.